GUGAGGAAUUUUCCGCAAUGGGCGAAAGCCUGACGGAGCAAUGCCGCGUGAAGGAUGAAGGCCUACGGGUUGUAAACUUCUUUUCUCAGAAAAGAAUUAUGACGGUAUCUGAGGAAUAAGCAUCGGCUAACUCUGUGCCAGCAGCCGCGGUAAGACAGAGGAUGCAAGCGUUAUCCGGAAUGAUUGGGCGUAAAGCGUCUGUAGGUUGUUUAAAAAGUAUUCUGUCAAAGAUUAGGGCUUAACCCUAGAUAGGCAGAAUAAACUUUUAAGCUAGAGUUUGGUAGAGGCAGAGGGAAUUCCCGGUGGAGCGGUGAAAUGCGUAGAUAUCGGGAGGAACACCAAAGGCGAAGGCACUCUGCUGGGCCAAUACUAACACUGAGAGACGAAAGCGAGGGGAGCAAAUGGGAUUAGAAACCCCAGUAGUCC
Molecule: ribosomal RNA, 426 nt
Filed under: uncultured bacterium
Lineage: Bacteria
Description: bacterial SSU rRNA
Rfam family: Bacterial small subunit ribosomal RNA
Source: RNAcentral